GGGGGACUUGUGCUGGAAAUUGCAAACAGGAGAGAAGCUGCACGAAGAGAUAAUAAUCACUGUUGAGAAUACUGUCAAUUUUUGAGAGUGAGUUUCUGAUGGAAAAGGAGCAGAAAAUAUCUGUCAUUUCAGUUCAAAGGAGGAGCCACUUUGCAAAAGAAGAAAUGUACACGCUAUCACAUCAGGAAGUAAAUUGAUGGAUAGUCAAGCAGACGCUAUGUGUUUCACUAUCACAGACAAAGCUGCAAUGAACAGCUGGUCCCUGGGCAUUUGCCCAAGACUCACUCAGAAUGGAGGUGACCUCGAGGGUGGAGUCCUAGGCUCAGCUGUCCAGGCGGCUCCCAUCCGGCGGGGCAGACCUCACAGCACCCGCUGUCACCAUCACCGUGCAGGACAGAGAGCCCUAAUGUGGCUGCACUUGGGGGAAAUGCUUCUGUGAUAUGACCCGUGAUGCCUCUUCCGUGCACAGCAAUUGUCUAGAGUGCCUCCCCCGGCACCACUGAGCUUCGAGGGGACAGGAAGAAGCUUUCUGCCCUUUCCUAAGGAGGGGCGAUCAGGACCUGCAGAAACCAUCAAGGUUUCCAUUGUUCCCCCUUCCACAAAAAAUUCACUGCUUCUAAGACCCUCCCGUGAACAAAAUUUUGGAGCCACAGAUGC
Mustela lutreola (European mink) is the source of this 657-nucleotide long non-coding RNA. RefSeq lists it as uncharacterized. Lineage: Eukaryota; Metazoa; Chordata; Mammalia; Carnivora; Mustelidae. The record is from RefSeq and is a predicted model, not a curated record. The transcript is spliced from 4 exons.